Molecule: long non-coding RNA, 672 nt
Organism: Juglans microcarpa x Juglans regia
Lineage: Eukaryota; Viridiplantae; Streptophyta; Magnoliopsida; Fagales; Juglandaceae
Exons: 3
Source: RefSeq, a predicted model, not a curated record
GAUUUAAGGGCGAAAGGGAAUUGGGGUGUUGUGCAGAACUAUGCAAAUAGGAAUGUAUACAACAUUCCGCCACUCCCGAGAGUUCUUGAAGAUAUUGAUGGGGAAUCAAGUACUCCUGAUGCCGAUCAAGAAAACGAGCCAUCAUAUUAUUAUGAACCAUUGCAGUGUGAUAACACAGAUCAAGUGGCAACUCAACUGAAUAGGCCUGAUAUACUACCUAGCCAUGUAGAUGCACGAGAAAUCAUGGAUCCGGUUGGUCAAUGCAUAGAUUCAACAGGCUUUAUUAAUGAUGACAUGAUUACUUCUGAUUCUGGAAAUGCGGCCAGUGAGGGAGAAUAUUCAGAUGAAGAUGACCUAUCAACAAAUGAGGGGGUACAUUCAGAUGAGGAUGUCCACUCAACAUCUGAUGAGUCUGGUAACCUAUAAGUACAACCCAGGAACUUCGUUCAUUUAAGGUUACGUUCAAUACCGGGAGGCUGUGUGAGGAGCACUAUGCAUUAUCAAGGUACCCAGCCGGGGCCCAGUUCAAGAGGCGGAGGCAGACUUCGCGGUCUUCGAGGUGCAAGGCGUUAUAUCCCAUACUCAGGUCGUCACAUCCGACCCCGUGGUGCGAAAUUAUCUUCAUAUCACAGCACGGAGGAGUGUAAUCAAUCCUCCUCGGAUGAUUCGACA